Homo sapiens (human) is the source of this 1676-nucleotide long non-coding RNA. NCBI's taxonomy places the organism in Eukaryota, Metazoa, Chordata, Mammalia, Primates, Hominidae. The record is from Ensembl.
GUACCAGCCCCAAACCCUGCCAGCAGUAUGGGGGAGGAUGCAUUUCUCCACACCUUGCUGAAGGAUGGGGACUUGGCAGAGUUCAGUGAUGUUUUAGGGUUGGAACAUUGAUUCCUUUCUCUCUCUCUUUUUUCCCUUUUCUCCUUGUGCCUCUCUUCCUGUGGGUGCCUGAGAAAAUACUCAGCCUGUAUGACUGUGGCCUGAGUCGAGAAGGAGUGCUAGCUCUGAGAAGAAAAGGUUUAUUUCCACUCUCAUGUGACUAUCCAUCUAUCCAUCUCUCCAUCCAUCAGCCCAUUGGACAAUAUGUACCCAGUUCCUAUAUCCAGCUAGCUACUGUACCAGGUGCCAGGCAUUUCGGGAAGAAUAAGACAGACAAGGUUGUCGUCCUCAUCCUUCUGCUCUACCAGGAACAAGUGAAGUGAUAGGAAGAGCUUUUCCUCAAAUAGCUCUGAGUUGUCCCAAGUCCAGCCUCCAGAUCAGAGACCGUGGUUAGGGCCCUGGAGGAUGCCCACAGCACCUCCCAUGUUUGCAUGCUAACUGGAGGCUGCCUCUUCAGGUGUGAGGAGGCAACUGUGCAGGUGGGGCAGGGCUGCCUUUCAUCCCCCUCCUUUCUUCUCCAGGGAUCUGGUAUGCUGAGUUUGCUUUUGAAAUGGAGGUCCUGGCCAGAGGUAGCCUGGUAAAUACAGUUCUUAAUCUAAAAAAACAAAACUCAGUGGGGAGAGAGUAUGGGGAAGAAGGAAGCAUUCUCCUUACCUGUGGACUAGACAGGGAGUGCUGAGAGACGGAGCCUGGGGAAAGUCCCAUUGGUGUGAGCUUAGAGUUCCAGGAGAGAUUAGCCACAGCCGGAUGCUGACAAGGGUGCCAGAUUGUUUCAUUAUGGAAUGGUUAGUUAUCACCUCAGCCUCCCAAAGUGCUGGGAUUACAGGUAUGAGCCACCAUGCUUGACAUGGUUCAUUUUAAAAGAUUACAUCUGGGUCUGUAGACCUCCUCCCAUAUAACUUGGAUUUUGUGGACCUGUAUGAUGGCCUGCAGCACAGCACUGCCAGCCUCAGAGAAGGCUGGGGUGUCAGUUCAUGAGUCACCCCAGAGUCAACACAAGUCAGCCCCACCAGCCGCACAGUGUGCCUGCUGUCUAUUGCAAGGUGAAUGCAAGAUGAUUUUUUAAACAAAUUUGUCUCCCUGUGGCUGGUCACUUGGAGGCCUUUUUUUUUUUUUAAAACAUGUAUUUACAUCCUAUUGAUGUAUCACCAUCCUGUUGGUAACUUUAAAAAUUUUGUGUAUGUAAAAUUGCCUAUCUACUAAUUUGACAACAAUACCCCGGAGGUGGAACUCAUCCCCAACUUUUGGCCUGGCUGUGAGACAUCCCUCCUUGUUAUGUCUUACUUUGUUGCUGUUGCUUUUGUUUCUCCCCACACCCAUGCCCCCAUGGGGGUCCUUGGCCAGCUCUACUCCGACUGCAGUUGUAGAACUGGGCAGAGAAGGUAUGACACCCCCUCCCCCAUUAUACCUCAGAAAGAACUAGAAGUAUGAUAAAUGAGUACGACUGGGAAUUUGUUUUUUCCACUAUCUCUAGGAUGUUCAUGUUUUGUAGAAUCCAUAUCCUUAAUUCUUUUUGUGUGAAAAUGUAGAGCAUACCUAGUUCUCAGACCCAAUUCCAUAGAUUAGAAAAAAGUUUU